GUGAAUCAUCGAAUCUUUGAACGCAUAUGGCACCUGCUAACUUUUGUUAGAAGGUAUGCCUGUUUGAGAAUCAUAUUAUAUUUAUUUCUUUUUGUUCCUUUGAUAUAAUGAUUGAUUGUCAUUGAUUGAUUCACUUUGAUCAUUGAUGAUGAAUGAUGACUAUCGAGGAAAACAAACUGACACAAUUGGACUUUUAUCAUUAAUCGUCUUGAAUUCUGUAAGGAUGACUUGUUGAUAGAUAAAAUGGAAUGGAAUGUCUUUUCAUUCAAUUAAUAUAUUUUGACAUGUCAAACCACACCC
This 300-nucleotide unclassified non-coding RNA is filed under the name uncultured fungus. RNAcentral's name for it is "sequence contains 5.8S rRNA gene, ITS2". The stretch from base 1 to 73 matches the Rfam family "5.8S ribosomal RNA", at positions 84 to 154 of the family's 154-position model. Lineage: Eukaryota; Fungi. The record is from RNAcentral.